UCGAAGAAAGGAAUGAGACUGAGUAUAGCGAAAGGCUAGGGAUGGGCAUCCUGCCCAGUAGACGGUAACUGAGGUGGUCGUUGUAGGGUACCUGGGGGCUCCAUGUGCGUCCUGUCGCUGCUUGGAGCUGUUACACCUAUGUAGCGGCCAUCAAAGUGGAGGCCCUCUCUUGAGCCUGAAUGAGAAAGUGCUUCCACUUUGUGUGCCACUGCAUGGGGAAAACAUCAUAGCUUUGCAUCUGACGCAUCGGUUUACAGGAGCGGACAACCUGUGUGGGGGUUUAGGCUUGGAGUUUAAUGGGUCCUAUCCUAAAGAGGGCGGUUCAGUUGGGUGCCACGAGACGCGGAUGGAUGUAAGGCAGUCGUGAGUCCAGGUGCAUUGUAGAUUGUUCUUAAGCUUGACCUCCAGCCUGUGAUACUCAAACUGGGGGCUCUUUUGGAUUUUCAUCGGAAGAAAAGUGCCGCCAGGUUUUGAGUGUCACCGGUUGAGAACUCAAAACGGCUAAGAACUAAGAAUUAAGUUUUAGUGGGUCAUGUUUUCACUGGGGUUGCAUUUCUGGGCAGGUGGGUGUCACAUGUGGGUUUGAGUCCGAACACUUGGGCGCAUGCGGUACUAAAGGCUUUCCGCGUUCAUAAAGGAGCCGGGAUCCCACAUGGGCCUCGCUCGGAGGAGCUGAGCCUCAGGUCUUGGAAGUUGGAACAUACAGUGUCGAUCAAAGUGGAGGCCCUCUCCGCGGCUUGGCGGGAAAGUGCAUCCAUUUUGUUUGUCUCUGUGUGUACAUGGCGUCUGAAAAGCCGGCUGCAGCUGCAACCUGGAAUCGCUUACCUGCUUGAAACAGGUAUGUGUGCUGGAGGUGAAUUCGUUGCCACUGGCUACUCGAGCUGCAAGGCUGGAGGUGAGGAGGAAGCAGGGCAGGGUGGAAGGAGGCACUCCAGGUCCAGGGGUGGUGAGUCUAAGCCUCAGGUCUGAGUAAAGAAAGGCCUACUUUUAAAUCUCACGUGGCCGCCAUAUUAAGUCCUCUUUCAAUUUUUUUCCUUUUUCUCCAAACAGGGUUUCUCUGUAGCCCUGGCUGUCCUGGAGCUAACUCACUUGUAGACCAGCCUGGCCUCAGCUCCAUCCACCUGGGAUUAAAAGAUCCUAUAUAUCUUGCUUGACUACUGUAGUUGCUAUAUCUUGCUUGACUACUGUAGUUGGACUGAUGGUUGUGAGUCUUGAUAUGGUUGGAUUGAAUUUUUAGGACCUGCUGGCUGUAGCUGACUUUAACCUGGCUCCUAGCACAAACAAGCUUGGUGGACAGCCGGGUAGAUAAUACCCAUAAUACCUUUUGGCUUUACAAUAGCCCAGGCUCAUGAGGGCUGGGAUUACAGGUGUUACAUUGUGUGCCCUAAGCAUAAUCUUCAUGGAUUCUCUUUGUUUUUCAGGUGUUCCAGUUGAGUUGAAUGUAAUCCUGCCUAGCCUGGGGUACUUACUUGCCUUCAACCUGCCUGGCUGGCUGGUCUGGCUAAGAACUGACUAUAAAGUUUCAGGUUUAUUACCACAGCAGGUCCCUGUGGAAAUGCUUCAAUCUGUGGUACUCAAACUGUGUGACAUUUUGUUCUUUGUAAGAAGUGCCGCAGAGUUUGUAGUGUUGCCGAUUGAGAAACUGCAGUUGGCCUAAGUGUUGCAUCAUUUGGGUGUCAUCUGUGGGUAUGAUUCAGUCUGUAAUGGGGCAAAAGUAAAAGCUGAGGUGCACGGAACCUCACGGGAAGUGACCCAGAUUUGACAGGUACUGUAUUACAUAUAGCUGCAUUUAUCCUUUUGGCAUUGAAUAAUCCUUAAUCUUCAGUUCAGUUGUAGGCAUGUUUGGAUCUAGCGAAAUUCCAUAUAGCCAUACUCAAAAUGGAGGCCCUAUCUAAGCUUUUAAGUGGAAAGUGCUUCCCUUUUGUGUGUUGCCAUGUGGAGAAAGCAUCGGAACUUCAAUCAACCAGAGACUCCUUGCUUGCUCAUCUUGGUGAGACUCAAAUGUGGGGCACACUUCUGGACUGUACAUAGAAAGUGCUACUACUUUUGAGUCUCUCCUGUGGGCACCAUUCACAGGUCGGCUGCUUUCAUGCAUGUGUAGUGUGUAUCUGAAUCCAGAUGAAGGUUUCCUGGAACUGGGACAUGUGGGUGCUAUUGAAUGAACCAAGGUGCUAUGGGAGCAACCAGUGCCCUCAGCCUCCAAACAUGAAUAAUAAAGUCUUGUUCUCUUGA
Mus musculus (house mouse) is the source of this 2232-nucleotide long non-coding RNA. RefSeq annotates it as DNA segment, Chr 7, ERATO Doi 143, expressed. The transcript has a single exon. Lineage: Eukaryota; Metazoa; Chordata; Mammalia; Rodentia; Muridae. The record is from RefSeq and is marked predicted.